This 449-nucleotide long non-coding RNA is filed under the name Bos taurus (domestic cattle). RNAcentral describes it as "long non-coding RNA NONBTAT014214". The record is from RNAcentral. Lineage: Eukaryota; Metazoa; Chordata; Mammalia; Artiodactyla; Bovidae.
ACCCUUAGACUUGAUCUUCUAAGAAAAACUCUCUUCUACUGUUUCACUUGAUUUCUGUUUUAGUCUGCUUCCAGUUUUGGAAGAAAUGGUCUUUGUCCUGUCUUUAAAUCUGUUGUUCUUCAUGUGGAUGUCACCCUAGAAGGUAAAAUCCCAAAAGCUGUUUAGUUGGUCAUUGUUGGCAUUAACGUGGGAGAAAGAAGACAGAGACUGCCUCAGAGACGCUCCUCAACCCGCACCAGUGGCUGUCUGCAAGCAAAGAACUUCACUAGCCUGGGGGGUGGGGAUAGCAAAGGGGGCCCCUCUCUUUAAAGGAAGCCUGGAACAACACGUUCUUUCUGUAUCUUAAAAGCAGGCAUGAAGUUUGGUUUAAGGCUGUUAGUUUCCAAAGUCACAACGUGAGAUAGAAGGGAAAUGACAGUGACACAGUUCCGCAGGCAAAACGGGUCCUC